GACUGGGAGAUCGAGUUAGGCUACUGAGAAUUAGGGCUUCCUUUAAAAAGUUAGAAUUUUGCUUUUGCAAACAGGGCAAAAGAUUAGCGCGUCGGGUCGGGUUAGAACCGGGAGAAACAGCCAAAUCUAAGGGAUCGGACGCUCGCCCGAGUCAUGGAUGGAGUUGGGGCCCCGCUCGGGCGGUCAUCGACCCGUUACAGACCGGCUUCUGUGUUUACAGGGACGGUGAGAAGGUGGAAAAAGAAAUUUUUUAUUUAAAUACAUUCUUGGCCUUUCGUUAUUUACCUUUGUUGGAAUUUUAUUUCGUUAUUAAUUUAUUUUUAAAUAUAGGGUAUUUUUUGUU
Long non-coding RNA from Cannabis sativa, 343 nucleotides. RefSeq lists it as uncharacterized. The record is from RefSeq and is a predicted model, not a curated record. Lineage: Eukaryota; Viridiplantae; Streptophyta; Magnoliopsida; Rosales; Cannabaceae. The transcript is spliced from 2 exons.